GACGAACGCUGGCGGCGUGCUUAACACAUGCAAGUCGAACGGAAAGGCCUGCUUUCCCUUGUGGAUUGCGGGUACUCGAGUGGCGAACGGGUGAGUAACACGUGAGUGAUCUGCCCCCAACUUGGGUAUAAGCCUGGGAAACUGGGUCUAAUUCCCGAUAGGACUGCAGGGUGGUGCCUGUGGUGGAAAACGAUUUUCUAGUGGUUGGGGAUGAGCUCGCGGCCUAUCAGCUUGUUGGUGGGGUAAUGGCCUACCAAGGCGGCGACGGGUAGCCGGCCUGGGAGGGUGGACGGCCACAUUGAGACUGGGAUACGGCCCAGACUCCUACGGGAGGCAGCGGUGGGGAAGAUUGGACAGUGGGCGGAAGCCUGAUGCAGCGACGCCGCGUGGGGGAUGACGGCCUUCGGGUUGUAAGCUCCUUGCGACCGCGAGGAAGCCACCUGGUUGGAAGGGUGGUGACGGUAGUGGUAGAAGAAGCACCGGCUAACUACGUG
This 494-nucleotide ribosomal RNA is filed under the name uncultured bacterium. RNAcentral's name for it is "partial 16S ribosomal RNA". It matches the Rfam family "Bacterial small subunit ribosomal RNA", at positions 28 to 507 of the family's 1533-position model. The record is from RNAcentral.